AUUGAACGCUGGCGGUAUGCUUAACACAUGCAAGUCGAACGGUAGCAGAAGAGAGCUUGCUCUCUUGCUGACGAGUGGCGGACGGGUGAGUAACGCUUGGGAAUCUGCCUAGUAGUGGGGGAUAACACGAGGGAACUCGUGCUAAUACCGCAUACGUCCUACGGGAGAAAGUGGGGGAUCUUCGGACCUCACGCUAUUAGAUGAGCCCAAGUCGGAUUAGCUUGUUGGUGAGGUAACGGCUCACCAAGGCGACGAUCCGUAGCUGGUUUGAGAGGAUGACCAGCCACACUGGGACUGAGACACGGCCCAG
RNAcentral lists this ribosomal RNA (310 nucleotides) under uncultured bacterium. Its description in RNAcentral is "bacterial SSU rRNA". It matches the Rfam family "Bacterial small subunit ribosomal RNA", at positions 30 to 334 of the family's 1533-position model. The record is from RNAcentral.